CUCAGGGAGGUAGUGACAAGAAAUAACAACACUGGAAAUUUUAUUUCUAGUGAUUGGAAUGAUGGGAAUUUAAACCCCUUUCAGAGUAACAAUUGGAGGGCAAGUCUGGUGCCAGCAGCCGCGGUAAUUCCAGCUCCGAUAGCGUAUAUUAAAGUUGUUGCAGUUAAAAAGCUCGUAGUUGGAUGUCUGCUGGAAGCAAUCAGUCCGCCCUAUUUGUAGGGUGUGCACUUGAUGAAUUCUGGCAUUUUUGUCCCAAUGAUGUAACGGGGCGGUGGUAUUCGGUGAAAGCCGAGUAUCCUGUUUUCCGAUUAUUGGGAUACUGUUACUUUGAGAAAAUUAGAGUGUUUGAAGCAGGCUAAUUGCCUUGAAUACUGCAGCAUGGAAUAACAAUAUAGGAUUUCGGUUCUAUUUUGUUGGUUUCUAGGACUGAAAUAAUGAUUAAUAGGGACAGUUGGGGGCAUUCGUAUUUAACUGUCAGAGGUGAAAUUCUUAGAUUUGUUAAAGACGAACUACUGCGAAAGCAUUUGCCAAAGAUGUUUUCAUUAAUCAAGAACGAAAGUUAGGGGCUCGAAGACGAUCAGAUACCGUCGUAGUCUUAACCAUAAACUAUGCCGACUAGAGAUAGGAAAAUGUCAUUUUGCUGACUU
Molecule: ribosomal RNA, 647 nt
Filed under: Sarcocystis tenella
Lineage: Eukaryota; Apicomplexa; Conoidasida; Eucoccidiorida; Sarcocystidae
Description: SSU rRNA
Rfam family: Eukaryotic small subunit ribosomal RNA
Source: RNAcentral